Molecule: ribosomal RNA, 229 nt
Filed under: uncultured bacterium
Lineage: Bacteria
Description: partial 16S ribosomal RNA
Rfam family: Bacterial small subunit ribosomal RNA
Source: RNAcentral
UCCGUAGGUGGAUAAUUAAGUCAGAGGUGAAAUCCUGCAGCCCAACUGUAGAAUUGCCUUUGAUACUGGUUAUCUUGAGUCAUUAUGAAGUGGUUAGAAUGUGUAGUGUAGCGGUGAAAUGCAUAGAUAUUACACAGAAUACCGAUUGCGAAGGCAGAUCACUAAUAAUGUACUGACACUGAGGGACGAAAGCGUGGGGAGCGAACAGGAUUAGAUACCCUGGUAGUCC